AGCGAACGCUGGCGGCAGGCUUAACACAUGCAAGUCGAGCGGGCAUCUUCGGAUGUCAGCGGCAAACGGGUGAGUAACACGUGGGAACGUACCCUUCGGUUCGGAACAACUCUGGGAAACUGGAGCUAAUACCGGAUACGCCCUUAUGGGGAAAGGUUUACUGCCGAAGGAUCGGCCCGCGUCUGAUUAGCUAGUUGGUGGGGUAACGGCCUACCAAGGCGACGAUCAGUAGCUGGUCUGAGAGGAUGAUCAGCCACACUGGGACUGAGACACGGCCCAGACUCCUACGGGAGGCAGCAGUGGGGAAUAUUGGACAAUGGGCGCAAGCCUGAUCCAGCCAUGCCGCGUGAGUGAUGAAGGCCUUAGGGUUGUAAAGCUCUUUUGUCCGGGACGAUAAUGACGGUACCGGAAGAAUAAGCCCCGGCUAACUUCGUG
RNAcentral lists this ribosomal RNA (435 nucleotides) under uncultured bacterium. RNAcentral's name for it is "partial 16S ribosomal RNA". It matches the Rfam family "Bacterial small subunit ribosomal RNA", at positions 29 to 507 of the family's 1533-position model. The record is from RNAcentral.